UGAAUGUUGACCUACUGACAAA
RNAcentral lists this non-coding RNA (22 nucleotides) under Arabidopsis thaliana (thale cress). The record is from RNAcentral. Lineage: Eukaryota; Viridiplantae; Streptophyta; Magnoliopsida; Brassicales; Brassicaceae.